AUGAACGCUGGCGGCGUGCCUAAUACAUGCAAGUCGAGCGAACAGACGAGGAGAUUGCUCCUCUGACGUUAGCGGCGGACGGGUGAGUAACACGUGGAUAACCUACCUAUAAGACUGGGAUAACUUCGGGAAACCGGAGCUAAUACCGGAUAAUAUAUUGAACCGCAUGGUUCAAUAGUUAAAGACGGUUUUGCUGUCACUUAUAGAUGGAUCCGCGCCGCAUUAGCUAGUUGGUAAGGUAACGGCUUACCAAGGCAACGAUGCGUAGCCGACCUGAGAGGGUGAUCGGCCACACUGGAACUGAGACACGGUCCAGACUCCUACGGGAGGCAGCAGUAGGGAAUCUUCCGCAAUGGGCGAAAGCUUGACGGAGCAACGCCGCGUGAGUGAUGAAGGUCUUCGGAUCGUAAAACUCUGUUAUUAGGGAAGAACAAAUGUGUAAGUAACUAUGCACGUCUUGACGGUACCUAAUCAGAAAGCCACGGCUAACUACGUG
RNAcentral lists this ribosomal RNA (496 nucleotides) under uncultured bacterium. Its description in RNAcentral is "partial 16S ribosomal RNA". It matches the Rfam family "Bacterial small subunit ribosomal RNA", at positions 29 to 507 of the family's 1533-position model. The record is from RNAcentral.